This 214-nucleotide unclassified non-coding RNA is filed under the name Glomus sp. Its description in RNAcentral is "partial contains 5.8S ribosomal RNA and internal transcribed spacer 2". The stretch from base 1 to 71 matches the Rfam family "5.8S ribosomal RNA", at positions 84 to 154 of the family's 154-position model. The record is from RNAcentral. Lineage: Eukaryota; Fungi; Glomeromycota; Glomeromycetes; Glomerales; Glomeraceae.
GUGAAUCAUCAAAUUUUUGAACGCAAAUUGCACUCUCUGGUAUUCCGGAGAGUAUGCCUGUUUGAGGGUCAGUUAAAAUAAAAAUCGGUGUGGUUUCUGCCUUUCGUGGUGACGCACCGGCUUUGGAUCGUCUUGCCUUCGGUUAAGUGACAUAAAAUUUUUCAUGCUUUUUUUCGAUGUAAUUUAAAUGUUUUUUCGUUCGGUUGCUAUUACU